This 483-nucleotide ribosomal RNA is filed under the name uncultured bacterium. RNAcentral's name for it is "partial 16S ribosomal RNA". It matches the Rfam family "Bacterial small subunit ribosomal RNA", at positions 30 to 506 of the family's 1533-position model. The record is from RNAcentral.
AUUGAACGCUGGCGGCAGGCCUAACACAUGCAAGUCGAGCGGAUGAAGGGAGCUUGCUCCUGGAUUCAGCGGCGGACGGGUGAGUAAUGCCUAAGAAUCUGCCUGGUGGUGGGGGAUAACGUCCGGAAACGGGCGCUAAUACCGCAUACGUCCUGAGGGAGAAAGUGGGGGAUCUUCGGACCUCACGCUAUCAGAUGAGCCUAGGUCGGAUUAGCUAGUUGGUGGGGUAAAGGCCUACCAAGGCGACGAUCCGUAACUGGUCUGAGAGGAUGAUCAGUCACACUGGAACUGAGACACGGUCCAGACUCCUACGGGAGGCAGCAGUGGGGAAUAUUGGACAAUGGGCGAAAGCCUGAUCCAGCCAUGCCGCGUGUGUGAAGAAGGUCUUCGGAUUGUAAAGCACUUUAAGUUGGGAGGAAGGGCAGUAAGUUAAGACCUUGCUGUUUUGACGUUACCAACAGAAUAAGCACCGGCUAACUUCGU